GACAGAGGUGCCGAGCGUUAGGCGGAAUCACUGGGCUUAAAGCGCGCGUAGGCGGGCCGUUAAGUGCCUUGUGAAAUCCCACAGCUCACCUGUGGAACUGCUUGGCAUACUGGCGAUCUUGAGCCACUUAGGGGCAACCGGAACAAACGGUGGAGCGGUGAAAUGCGUAGAUAUCGGGAGGAAUACCUAUGGCGAAAGCAGGCUACUGGACCGUCACUGACUCUGAUCUGCGAAAGCUAGGGGAGCAAACAGG
RNAcentral lists this ribosomal RNA (253 nucleotides) under uncultured bacterium. RNAcentral describes it as "partial 16S ribosomal RNA". It matches the Rfam family "Bacterial small subunit ribosomal RNA", at positions 524 to 776 of the family's 1533-position model. The record is from RNAcentral.